This 512-nucleotide ribosomal RNA is filed under the name uncultured bacterium. RNAcentral describes it as "bacterial SSU rRNA". It matches the Rfam family "Bacterial small subunit ribosomal RNA", at positions 28 to 526 of the family's 1533-position model. The record is from RNAcentral.
GACGAACGCUGACGGUGUGCUUUAGACAUGCAAGUCGAACGAGAAAGCCCUUCGGGGUUAGUAAAGUGGCGAACGGGUGAGUAACACGUGGGCAAUCUGCCCCUCGCAGGGGGACAAUCGGAGGAAACUCCGGCUAAUACCCCGUACGCUUGUCGGACCGCAUGGUACUGACAAGGAAAGGUAGCUUCGGCCAUCCGGCGAGGGAUGAGCCCGCGGUACAUUAGCUAGUUGGUGGGGUAACGGCCUACCAAGGCGACGAUGUAUAGCUGGUCUGAGAGGAUGAUCAGCCACACUGGGACUGAGACACGGCCCAGACUCCUACGGGAGGCAGCAGUCGGGAAUCUUGCACAAUGGGCGAAAGCCUGAUGCAGCAACACCGUGUGAGCGAUGAAGGCCCUAGGGUCGUAAAGCUCUGUUGUUAGGGACGAAGGGCGAAGGGUUAAUAGCCCCUAGCUUGACGGUACCUUUCGAGGAAGCCCCGGCUAACUACGUGCCAGCAGCCGCCGUAAGAC